CUCGACGUAGCCAAGUGGUCGAAGGCGGCAGUCUGCAAAACUGCCGGCGUCCAGCCCGCGUCGGUUCGAAUCCGUCCGUCGAGUCCA
This 87-nucleotide transfer RNA is filed under the name Pseudaquabacterium terrae. Its description in RNAcentral is "tRNA-Cys". It matches the Rfam family "tRNA". From Rfam's summary of the family: Transfer RNA (tRNA) molecules are approximately 80 nucleotides in length. Their secondary structure includes four short double-helical elements and three loops (D, anti-codon, and T loops). The record is from RNAcentral. Lineage: Bacteria; Pseudomonadati; Pseudomonadota; Betaproteobacteria; Burkholderiales; Sphaerotilaceae.